AACGAACGCUGGCGGCAUGCCUAACACAUGCAAGUCGAACGAUAUCCUUCGGGGUCUUGUGGCUCACGGGUGCGUAACGCGUUGGAAUCUGCCCUUAGGUUCGGAAUAACAGUUAGAAAUGACUGCUAAUACCGGAUGAUGACGUUAAGUCCAAUGAUUUAUCGCCUGAGGAUGAGCCCGCGUAUGAUUAGCUUGUUUGUGUGGUAAAGGCGCACCAAGGCGAGGAUCGUUAGAUGGUCUGAGAGGAUGAUCAUCCACACUGGGACUGAGACACGGCACAGAAUCGUACGGGAGGGAGGAGUGGGGAAUAGAGGAAAAUGGGGGCAAGGCUGAAAAAGCAAUGACGGGUGAGUGAUGAAGGCAUUAGGGUAGUAAAGCAGUUUUAACCGGGAUGAUAAUGACAGUACCGGGAGAAUAAGCCCCGGCUAACUACGUG
This 436-nucleotide ribosomal RNA is filed under the name uncultured bacterium. RNAcentral's name for it is "partial 16S ribosomal RNA". It matches the Rfam family "Bacterial small subunit ribosomal RNA", at positions 29 to 507 of the family's 1533-position model. The record is from RNAcentral.